Molecule: ribosomal RNA, 483 nt
Filed under: uncultured bacterium
Lineage: Bacteria
Description: bacterial SSU rRNA
Rfam family: Bacterial small subunit ribosomal RNA
Source: RNAcentral
AUUGAACGCUGGCGGAAUGCUUUACACAUGCAAGUCGAACGGUAGAGGGGGCAACCCCUCGAGAGUGGCGAACGGGUGAGUAAUAUAUCGGAACGUGCCCAGUCGUGGGGGAUAACGUAGCGAAAGUUACGCUAAUACCGCAUACGAUCUACGGAUGAAAGCGGGGGACUCGCAAGAGCCUCGCGCGAUUGGAGCGGCCGAUAUCAGAUUAGGUAGUUGGUGGGGUAAAGGCUCACCAAGCCAACGAUCUGUAGCUGGUCUGAGAGGACGACCAGCCACACUGGAACUGAGACACGGUCCAGACUCCUACGGGAGGCAGCAGUGGGGGAAUUUUGGACAAUGGACGCAAGUCUGAUCCAGCCAUUCCGCGUGCAGGAUGAAGGCCCUCGGGUUGUAAACUGCUUUUGUACGGAACGAAAAGGUCUGGGUUAAUACCCUGGGCUCAUGACGGUACCGUAAGAAUAAGCACCGGCUAACUACGUG